GGGUUGUGAGGUUAAGCGACUAAGCGUACACGGUGGAUGCCCUGGCAGUCAGAGGCGAUGAAGGGCGUGCUAAUCUGCGAUAAGCGCCGGUAAGGUGAUAUGAACCGUUAUAACCGGCGAUACCCGAAUGGGGAAACCCAGUGUGAUUCGUCACACUAUCAUUACGUGAAUACAUAGCGUAAUGAAGCGAACCGGGGGAACUGAAACAUCUAAGUACCCCGAGGAAAAGAAAUCAACCGAGAUUCCCCCAGUAGCGGCGAGCGAACGGGGAGGAGCCCAGAGCCUGAAUCAGCAUGUGUGUUAGUGGAAGCGUCUGGAAAGGCGCGCGAUACAGGGUGACAGCCCCGUACACAAAAGCGCAUGUGUUGUGAGCUCGAUGAGUAGGGCGGGACACGUGGUAUCCUGUCUGAAUAUGGGGGGACCAUCCUCCAAGGCUAAAUACUCCUGACUGACCGAUAGUGAACCAGUACCGUGAGGGAAAGGCGAAAAGAACCCCGGCGAGGGGAGUGAAAAAGAACCUGAAACCGUGUACGUACAAGCAGUGGGAGCACCCUUUGGGGUGUGACUGCGUACCUUUUGUAUAAUGGGUCAGCGACUUAUAUUCUGUAGCAAGGUUAACCGAAUAGGGGAGCCGGAGGGAAACCGAGUCUUAAUUGGGCGUUAAGUUGCAGGGUAUAGACCCGAAACCCGGUGAUCUAGCCAUGGGCAGGUUGAAGGUUGGGUAACACUAACUGGAGGACCGAACCGACUAAUGUUGAAAAAUUAGCGGAUGACCUGUGGCUGGGGGUGAAAGGCCAAUCAAACCGGGAGAUAGCUGGUUCUCCCCGAAAGCUAUUUAGGUAGCGCCUCGUGAAUUCAUCUCCGGGGGUAGAGCACUGUUUCGGCUAGGGGGCCAUCCCGGCUUACCAACCCGAUGCAAACUGCGAAUACCGGAGAAUGUUAUCACGGGAGACACACGGCGGGUGCUAACGUCCGUCGUGAAGAGGGAAACAACCCAGACCGCCAGCUAAGGUCCCAAAGUCAUAGUUAAGUGGGAAACGAUGUGGGAAGGCCCAGACAGCCAGGAUGUUGGCUUAGAAGCAGCCAUCAUUUAAAGAAAGCGUAAUAGCUCACUGGUCGAGUCGGCCUGCGCGGAAGAUGUAAC
RNAcentral lists this ribosomal RNA (1144 nucleotides) under Salmonella enterica. RNAcentral's name for it is "partial 23S ribosomal RNA". It matches the Rfam family "Bacterial large subunit ribosomal RNA", at positions 1 to 1176 of the family's 2925-position model. The record is from RNAcentral. Lineage: Bacteria; Pseudomonadati; Pseudomonadota; Gammaproteobacteria; Enterobacterales; Enterobacteriaceae.